Long non-coding RNA from Suricata suricatta (meerkat), 543 nucleotides. RefSeq lists it as uncharacterized. The record is from RefSeq and is a predicted model, not a curated record. NCBI's taxonomy places the organism in Eukaryota, Metazoa, Chordata, Mammalia, Carnivora, Herpestidae. The transcript is spliced from 4 exons.
GGCAAAGGUGGAAGAGGGGAGCAUUUGCUCUGCGCUUGCAGCUCUUUGUCUGACAGCCCCAGGGUCCUGGAAGCCCCAAAGUCAGGAUGUCGUGCCUCCGGACUUCUAAGAUCCUGAGAACCAACCCUGUCACCCUGGUCCCAGGGGCAUAGAAAGCAGAGCAGUAGACAAGAGGGAACCAUUAACACUGCAUCCAUCAUCAGACACAUCAUCCCACCUAGAGGAGAAACCACUGAGAAGUGAGAGAGUCAUCCCACAGAACCCAUGGCGGAGGACAAGGAGAUUUUUUAAGUUGGGGAGGAGAAAAAUGACCCCAAAACAGCCAUGAGAGAUAGAGGAAUAGUGAUGUACACAGAUAACAUGAUGGCUAAUACAAUGAAACCAAGUGGAAAACCCUGAAACUUCUUCCUAUCAAGAUAUAAGCCAGAAGCCAUAGAACAUUUCUGGAGGAAUCAUGAAGAAUAUCAAAAGUGGUGGGGAAGAAAUAACAAAAGUAUAUGUAAUUUCAUAACUAGUUAUAGAAGUAAAGGCUGAAAAAUGAAA